UACGGGGGGUGCGAGCGUUGUUCGGAUUCACUGGGUAUAAAGGGUGCGCAGGCGGACUGGUAAGUCAGAGGUGAAAUUUGUCGGCUCAACCGACAAACUGCCCCUGAAACUGCCAGUCUUGAGUCCGGGAGAGGUAGGUGGAAUUCCAGGUGUAGCGGUGAAAUGCGUAAAUAUCUGGAGGAACACCGGUGGCGAAGGCGGCCUACUGGCCCGGAACUGACGCUCAGGCACGAAAGCUAGGGGAGCGAACGGG
RNAcentral lists this ribosomal RNA (253 nucleotides) under uncultured bacterium. RNAcentral describes it as "partial 16S ribosomal RNA". It matches the Rfam family "Bacterial small subunit ribosomal RNA", at positions 524 to 776 of the family's 1533-position model. The record is from RNAcentral.